RNAcentral lists this ribosomal RNA (465 nucleotides) under uncultured Klebsiella sp. Its description in RNAcentral is "bacterial SSU rRNA". It matches the Rfam family "Bacterial small subunit ribosomal RNA", at positions 338 to 795 of the family's 1533-position model. Lineage: Bacteria; Pseudomonadati; Pseudomonadota; Gammaproteobacteria; Enterobacterales; Enterobacteriaceae. The record is from RNAcentral.
CCUACGGGGUGCAGCAGUGGGGAAUAUUGCACAAUGGGCGCAAGCCUGAUGCAGCCAUGCCGCGUGUGUGAAGAAGGCCUUCGGGUUGUAAAGCACUUUCAGCGGGGAGGAAGGCGUUAAGGUUAAUAACCUUGUCGAUUGACGUUACCCGCAGAAGAAGCACCGGCUAACUCCGUGCCAGCAGCCGCGGUAAUACGGAGGGUGCAAGCGUUAAUCGGAAUUACUGGGCGUAAAGCGCACGCAGGCGGUCUGUCAAGUCGGAUGUGAAAUCCCCGGGCUCAACCUGGGAACUGCAUUCGAAACUGGCAGGCUAGAGUCUUGUAGAGGGGGGUAGAAUUCCAGGUGUAGCGGUGAAAUGCGUAGAGAUCUGGAGGAAUACCGGUGGCGAAGGCGGCCCCCUGGACAAAGACUGACGCUCAGGCGCGAAAGCGUGGGGAGCAAACAGGAUUAGAUACCCUAGUAGUC